AUUGAACGCUGGCGGCAUGCUUUACACAUGCAAGUCGAACGGUAACAGGCCUUCGGGUGCUGACGAGUGGCGAACGGGUGAGUAAUGCAUCGGAACGUGCCCAAUCGUGGGGGAUAACGUAGCGAAAGUUACGCUAAUACCGCAUAAGCCCUGAGGGGGAAAGCAGGGGAUCGCAAGACCUUGCGCGAAUGGAGCGGCCGAUGUCAGAUUAGCUAGUUGGUGGGGUAAAGGCCUACCAAGGCGACGAUCUGUAGCGGGUCUGAGAGGAUGAUCCGCCACACUGGGACUGAGACACGGCCCAGACUCCUACGGGAGGCAGCAGUGGGGAAUUUUGGACAAUGGGCGCAAGCCUGAUCCAGCCAUGCCGCGCGCGGGACGAAGG
Molecule: ribosomal RNA, 382 nt
Filed under: uncultured bacterium
Lineage: Bacteria
Description: bacterial SSU rRNA
Rfam family: Bacterial small subunit ribosomal RNA
Source: RNAcentral